GUGGGGAAUCUUGGACAAUGGGGGCAACCCUGAUCCAGCCAUGCCGCGUGGACGAUGAAGGCCCUAGGGUUGUAAAGUCCUUUCACCCGUGAAGAUAAUGACGGUAGCGGGAGAAGAAGCCCCGGCUAACUCCGUGCCAGCAGCCGCGGUAAUACGGAGGGGGCUAGCGUUGUCCGGAAUUACUGGGCGUAAAGCGCGCGUAGGCGGAUGGUCAAGUCGGGGGUGAAAUCCCGGGGCUCAACCCCGGAACUGCCUCCGAUACUGGACGUCUGGAGGACGGAAGAGGCGAGUGGAAUGCCGAGUGUAGAGGUGAAAUUCGUAGAUAUUCGGCGGAACACCAGUGGCGAAGGCGGCUCGCUGGUCCGUUUCUGACGCUGAGGCGCGAAAGCGUGGGGAGCAAACAGGAUUAGAUACCCUGGUAGUCCACGCCGUAAACGAUGAGUGCCAGACGUCGGGGGGCAUGCCCUUCGGUGUCGCAGCUAACGCAGUAAGCACUCCGCCUGGGGAGUACGGCCGCAAGGUUA
RNAcentral lists this ribosomal RNA (524 nucleotides) under uncultured Pseudomonadota bacterium. RNAcentral describes it as "bacterial SSU rRNA". It matches the Rfam family "Bacterial small subunit ribosomal RNA", at positions 354 to 896 of the family's 1533-position model. The record is from RNAcentral. Lineage: Bacteria; Pseudomonadati; Pseudomonadota.